GAACAGUCAGUAGGGAAGCGCUACACGGUGGUGAAGGAGGAAGAACUUGAACUUGAUGCAUUAGUGCCUUUUCUCUGCGGAGAGGCAAGGCUGUCACCUAAAGAUGUUGACUCUUCUGCUACUUCUCCUGGGACUGGGUUCUGUGUUCGGUGCUCUCCUCUCUCAAAAGCCAAGCAGGGCCAUCCGUCAACGUGGGACCUCCAUGACGAUCGAGUGUCAGGCCGAUAGCCAGCUCAACUUCAUGUACUGGUACCGUCAGCUUCCAGGACAGAGCUUGGUGCUGAUGGCUACUGCCAAUCAGGGCUCCAAGGCUACUUACGAGAGUGAGUUCACUGAGGACAAGUUUCCCAUUAGCCGCCCGAACCUGGCGUUCUCAACUCUGACUGUGAGCAACGCGAGCUCCGAAGACAGCAGCUCUUAUUUCUGCAGUGCUGGAGACACAGUGCUGGGCACGGAUCAAGGGUCUCAGCAAGAACCCCUCUCCCUCCCACCCAGCUCUCAGCCAGCCUGUGGAAUCUCAGUUCCCCAACCAGGAAUCGAGCCCUUGACCCUGCUUUGGAAGUGUGGAGUCGUAACCACUGGAUCACCAAGGAAGUCCCUGUGUAGACUGGGCAGGGAAUGGCAAAAGCACUCCAUUCCCAAGCUUCACCUGAAUUGAACAGGGCUGACGUCUUGUUAUCCAGGUGUCAGCUCAAAUACCAUCUCCCCAGAGAGAGCUUUCCUAACCUUCUAUGCUCACACAGUACCUGUGGACUCAGCCACCAGUUACUCACAUUUAUUAUCACUUUAUCCUAUUUCACUAAGACCUAAUUAUCAGUUAGUUCAGUUCAGUUCAGUUGCUCAGUCGUGUCCGACUCUGCGACCCCAUGGACUGCAGCCUGCCAGGCUUCCUUGUCCAUCACCAAAUCCCAGAUCUUGUUCAAACUCACAUCCAUCAAGCCAGUGAUGCCAUCCAACCAUCUCAUCCUCUGUUGUCCCCUUCUCCUCCUGCCUUCAAUCUUUCCCAGCAUCAGGGUCUUUUCCAAUGAUCUAAUCAUUGGAAUAUAAUCAAUUAAUCAUUAUACUUUGAUAUAAAUAGUUGAUCCUUGAACUAGGUACAGAUUAGGGACACUAACCCUCUGCACAGUUGAAAAUCCACGUAUAACUUUGUAGGCACUUCUUCGUAUCUAAAGUUCCACAUCCUGUAUUUAACCAACCUCAAAUCAUGUAACACUACAAUAGUUAUUGAAAAAAAAAUUCCAUGUAUAAGUAGACCAGUGCAGUUCAGAUUCCAUCUUGUUCAAAGAUCAACUGUAUAUAUUAUAUACACAUCAUACAUAUAUAUAAAGAUACAUAUAUUUUUUAAUGUACUAUCUGCCUCUCACAGUUAUAUCUCCUUUCAUAUGUGUGGACACGCACACACAUAAUUACACAUUGUUGUGGUUUAGUUGC
Non-coding RNA from Capra hircus (goat), 1431 nucleotides. Lineage: Eukaryota; Metazoa; Chordata; Mammalia; Artiodactyla; Bovidae. The record is from the annotation of a RefSeq genome assembly.